This 495-nucleotide long non-coding RNA is filed under the name Monodelphis domestica (gray short-tailed opossum). RNAcentral's name for it is "lncRNA (ENSMODG00000045005.1)". Lineage: Eukaryota; Metazoa; Chordata; Mammalia; Didelphimorphia; Didelphidae. The record is from RNAcentral.
GUGAAACUAUGACACGUGUCAGCACUGACACGUGUAGUCAUUUUCGAUGACAUACUCCUGCCUGCAUGCGAGCUCAGCAAGCCCAUAGCUGUGGACAUGCCCUGAACCAGCCUAGCCUGGAGGGAGGGGAUGCUCCACUUGCUGGCUGCUAGGGCAGGAGGCACCCCACACAAGUUAAAUAAUAUCAACACCAACAAAAGGAACGGACUGACAGAUGAACAAACAAGUCUCUAAGCAGAUAGGUUUUAUACACUUCUUGUGGAGCCAUAGCCAAUCACCACUCACUAUUCUUGAGGAAAAAAGCGUCUUGCUAGAAUGGAGACUUAGAGGACAAGGGGAAGAGCUUACUCUGCCAUGGACAGAUCUUAGCAUAGUUACUGAAAGGAUAAUCAUUUGCUUGUUUUAUACUGUCAGGUAACACUGUAAACCUGUCUCUAUUAGUUUCAUUAAAGGAAUGAAUCAAAAAUAUACCCUGCCUGAAGGGUCCAUUUCCAG